GAGGCAGCAGCAAGGAAUUUUGGGCAAUGGGCGAAAGCCUGACCCAGCAACGCCGCGUGAGGGAUGAAGGCCUUCGGGUCGUAAACCUCUUUUCUCAGGGAAGAAAAAAAUGACGGUACCUGGGGAAUAAGUCUCGGCUAACUACGUGCCAGCAGCCGCGGUAAUACGUAGGAGGCGAGCGUUAUCCGGAUUUAUUGGGCGUAAAGAGAGCGUAGGCGGUUUGUCAAGUCGGAUGUGAAAUCUCCCGGCUCAACUGGGAGGAGUCAUUCGAUACUGAUGGGCUAGAGUGCAGCAGGGGAAAACGGAAUUCCCGGUGUAGUGGUGAUAUGCGUAGAUACCGGGAGGAACACCAGAGGCGAAGGCGGUUUUCUAGGCUGUUUCUGACGCUGAGGCUCAAAAGCGUGGGGAGCGAACAGGAUUAGAUACCCUGGUAGUCCACGCCGUAAACGAUGGACACUAGGUAUAGGGAGUAUCGACCCUCUCUGUGCCGAAGCUAACGCUUUAAGUGUCCCGCC
Molecule: ribosomal RNA, 515 nt
Filed under: uncultured Dehalococcoidia bacterium
Lineage: Bacteria; Bacillati; Chloroflexota; Dehalococcoidia
Description: bacterial SSU rRNA
Rfam family: Bacterial small subunit ribosomal RNA
Source: RNAcentral